RNAcentral lists this ribosomal RNA (500 nucleotides) under uncultured Glomeromycotina. Its description in RNAcentral is "partial small subunit ribosomal RNA". It matches the Rfam family "Eukaryotic small subunit ribosomal RNA", at positions 591 to 1092 of the family's 1831-position model. Lineage: Eukaryota; Fungi; Glomeromycota. The record is from RNAcentral.
CCAAUAGCGUAUAUUAAAGUUGUUGCAGUUAAAAAGCUCGUAGUUGAAUUUCGGGGUUAGUAGGCUGGUCGUGCCACUGGUAUGUACUGGUCUUACUGACUUCUCCUUUCUGAAGAACUGUAAUGCCAUUAAUUUGGUGUUGCAGGGAAUCAGGACUGUUACUUUGAAAAAAUUAGAGUGUUUAAAGCAGGCUAACGCUUGAAUACAUUAGCAUGGAAUAAUGAAAUAGGACGUUCGAUCCUAUUUUGUUGGUUUCUAGGAUUGACGUAAUGAUUAAUAGGGAUAGUUGGGGGCAUUAGUAUUCAAUUGUCAGAGGUGAAAUUCUUGGAUUUAUUGAAGACUAACUACUGCGAAAGCAUUUGCCAAGGAUGUUUUCAUUAAUCAAGAACGAAAGUUAGGGGAUCGAAGACGAUCAGAUACCGUCGUAGUCUUAACCAUAAACUAUGCCGACUAGGGAUCGGAUGAUGUUAAUUUUUUAAUGACUCAUUCGGCGCCUUACG